CCGCGGCCACCGGCACGGUCAGCACCGGCACCUCGGAGGUGCCCUUGAGGACGGUGAUCCGGACGUUCUGGCCGUUCAGCCCGGCCGGCAGCGGG
Molecule: transfer RNA, 95 nt
Filed under: Kitasatospora herbaricolor
Lineage: Bacteria; Bacillati; Actinomycetota; Actinomycetes; Kitasatosporales; Streptomycetaceae
Description: tRNA-Pro
Source: RNAcentral